GACGAACGCUGGCGGCGUGCUUAACACAUGCAAGUCGAACGGAAAGGCCCUGCUUGCAGGGUACUCGAGUGGCGAACGGGUGAGUAACACGUGGGUGAUCUGCCCUGCGCUUCGGGAUAAGCCUGGGAAACUGGGUCUAAUACCGGAUAGGAGCCAUUUUUAGUGUGAUGGUUGGAAAGUUUUUUCGGUGUAGGAUGAGCUCGCGGCCUAUCAGCUUGUUGGUGGGGUAAUGGCCUACCAAGGCGGCGACGGGUAGCCGGCCUGAGAGGGUGGACGGCCACAUUGGGACUGAGAUACGGCCCAGACUCCUACGGGAGGCAGCAGUGGGGAAUAUUGCACAAUGGGCGCAAGCCUGAUGCAGCGACGCCGCGUGGGGGAUGACGGCCUUCGGGUUGUAAACUCCUUUCGCUAGGGACGAAGCUUUUGUGACGGUACCUAGAUAAGAAGCACCGGCUAACUACGUG
RNAcentral lists this ribosomal RNA (464 nucleotides) under uncultured bacterium. Its description in RNAcentral is "partial 16S ribosomal RNA". It matches the Rfam family "Bacterial small subunit ribosomal RNA", at positions 28 to 507 of the family's 1533-position model. The record is from RNAcentral.